GUCAAUUGCAUACCGCUUUUAGCUGUACACAUUAAUUAACUUAAACAGUUUUCGUAAAUGCAUUUCAGAGAAAAGUGAAUUCUGAGAUUUGAAUAAUGCAUCUGACGUGUGUGAUGACGUCACGACGCACGUAUUUUGAUUUUUACCAGUCGUUCAAGACGGACGGGUUCAGUCCCAAGAAGCUAAAGUUUUUCAAAGACAUUUGUAGGAAGGACUUUGCAGCUAAUGAUUUCCUUAGGCUGAACCAAAACCUGCCAGACUAAAGUUGAUUUGGGAGAGAAAGACGUUGUAAACUCACUCAUCUUGACAUUCUUCAAUGAGUAAUUGUUCAAUUUUUAGGCAAAUACUGUACACUUUGAAUGGUGUGAAUAAAACUAUAUUUUAAAUAUA
Long non-coding RNA from Paramisgurnus dabryanus, 390 nucleotides. RefSeq lists it as uncharacterized. The record is from RefSeq and is a predicted model, not a curated record. NCBI's taxonomy places the organism in Eukaryota, Metazoa, Chordata, Actinopteri, Cypriniformes, Cobitidae.